RNAcentral lists this unclassified non-coding RNA (419 nucleotides) under Hevea brasiliensis (rubber tree). Lineage: Eukaryota; Viridiplantae; Streptophyta; Magnoliopsida; Malpighiales; Euphorbiaceae. The record is from RNAcentral.
GGGGACUCUGCUUCAGAUAUUCACAAAGCCUGUAGGGGAUAGGCCUACAAUUUUUCUCGAAAUAAUUCAGAGAAUAGGGUGCAUGCUGAAAAACGAGGAAGGAGAGCUUUAUCAGAAGGGUGGAUGUGGAGGCUUCGGAAAGGGAAAUUUCUCAGAGCUCUUUAAAUCCAUCGAAGAAUAUGAAAAGACACUUGAAGCUAAACAAAACACUCAAGUAGCGAUUGCUUGAGCAUGUACUCGUCUCACCACCCUGUAUAAUCGACGUUAAGGAUGAGACACUGGAGUUGCAGCAUAGCUUCUGUUUUAUGUCUCAUUAUAAAUGAAAAAUAGUUUUACAUGUAUAUGUUUAAAGCAUCUGCUAUUGUACAAAGAGACGUUGAUUAUUUAAUGGGAAGAAGCACAGCCAAGAUAUGAUUGGC